This 253-nucleotide ribosomal RNA is filed under the name uncultured bacterium. RNAcentral describes it as "partial 16S ribosomal RNA". It matches the Rfam family "Bacterial small subunit ribosomal RNA", at positions 524 to 776 of the family's 1533-position model. The record is from RNAcentral.
GACGGAGGGUGCAAGCGUUGUUCGGAAUUACUGGGCGUAAAGGGCGCGUAGGCGGUCUGUUAAGUUCGGUGUGAAAGCCCCCGGCUCACCUGGGGAACUGCGCCGGAAACCGACAGACUCGAGUACCGGAGAGGAGGGUGGAAUUCCUGGUGUAGCGGUGAAAUGCGUAGAUAUCAGGAGGAACACCGGUGGCGAAGGCGGCCCUCUGGACGGAUACUGACGCUGAGGCGCGAAAGCGUGGGGAGCAAACGGG